CGGACAAUGUGCUCAGAGAAGAUAACUGAAUCGACUUAGCUCAGCGUUUUGCGAAAGUAUGUUCUAUAUUUUUAGGGUCCAAAACGUUGAAGUACCUCAGGGUAAACAUAAGUUAACUUUACUCACUUGGUUUGCUGGCUGAAUUCAAGAUGUCAGUGUAACAGCGAUGACCUUGAUUAGAAAGAUUUGUUUGCACCUAACAAGGAAGAUGCCAACUGGAACAUGAAGUAGACCAGCCUCAGCAGUCAGGAUGUGGCCGUCAUCUUCAAAGAGUUGUUGUUUUACUUAAUUGCAAUCCAGCCUUUGGGUGAACCAGAAUGCUCCCGCCACAAACUCAUCUGUGACUGGAAUAUUGUGUGACGAGUCAACGAACAGCUGCGUGACAAGCCAACGAACAGCCGCGUGACCGCUAAUGAAAGUAAGAUCUGUAAUUAUCCUAUAAAAUAUAAGAGUAACUUAACUAUUUAUCUAUCUAUAUUAGUCCUUUGAUUUAAGUUUUUUCCAAAAUAAAACUAAGAUAAUUUUUAGUUGGAGAAGGAUGAUGAAAAUCCUUUAAGUAUUAGUUAUCCUUAUUUAGGAAAAAAAUGCUACUUUAUCCAAAAAAAAACAAAGGAAAUUUGCCUAUUCAUGACUAAGCCUAUUGUAUAUAAUCCUGUUUUAAUAUUCUACAAAAAUAAUUAUGCUAAUCCUAAAAUUAAAGUAUCUAUAGUAUGAUGUUUUCAUGGUGGAUAAAUUCUACUUGAGUAGAAAAAAAGAGAAAUUUUCCUGAAAUUACUAUAAAGAUAAGUUUCAUCCAAUUCAGGAGGAGGAAAAUCCUAGAGUAAUAGAUUUAUUUUUAGAUUGAAAGAAAAUGCUACUUAGGGUUAGUCCCUAUCAAUAACUAGACCUAGUUUUUACAUUUUUUAUAGCUGCAUAUCUAUAGCAUUAUGGUUAUCCUAAACCUAUGGUAUCUACAGUCAUGUUUUUUGCUUCUGUAAGAAAAAGAACCCCUAGUAAAUUUUGUUUAUUUAUAAUUGGCCUAUGGUUAUUAUUUUGUUUUAUAUUUAAGUUAUAUUUAAAUGAAAAACUAAAGAAGAGAGAUUCUGGAUUCAGUAUCAACCCAUCAGAGAGACCCCCAGUAACUAUUAGCUCAAUUUGAUGUUAUUUGUGUGAGUCCAGUCAAGCCAGACCAGAGAAAUCCAGCAAAAAUCCGCACUCCCAAUGUAAAUACACCUAAAUUGACCCUACAAUUCAGCGCAACUGUUUUAAUGAUCCUUAGUUGUGAAACAUUUCAAGAGAUACAUUGAAUGCAAAAAAGCACCUUCUGAGGCCAAAACUUGUCAAAUUGAUGCAGCAGUUCUG
This is a long non-coding RNA of Pocillopora damicornis (cauliflower coral), 1341 nucleotides long. The record is from RefSeq and is a predicted model, not a curated record. Lineage: Eukaryota; Metazoa; Cnidaria; Anthozoa; Scleractinia; Pocilloporidae.